Molecule: long non-coding RNA, 964 nt
Organism: Peromyscus californicus insignis
Lineage: Eukaryota; Metazoa; Chordata; Mammalia; Rodentia; Cricetidae
Exons: 3
Source: RefSeq, a predicted model, not a curated record
UGUGCUCCCGAUGCACACACACUGGUCUCCAAGCCUGUGUGCCCUGUGGUACACACCGCAGCACGGAUCCACCCCGUGAGGUGUGUAUGGUGGGAGGGGGUGGGAAGGAGGGGCAGCCGGAGGGACAGUGGCUGUUCUAUUUUUACUGGCCAGUUGCCGGAGGCCACAGUUUUCAUAGCCUGCCCUCAGCUCUGCCCCCUCAGUCUGCAGUCUGUGCUGAGGCUCAGGCCAGCCUGGCUCCACGAGGACUAAACCAGGCGCAUUUGGCUCUCUGCCCAUCUCAUCUGCACAGAACACGAGCAGGUGCCGCCUUGCUGCCACCAUGCCGGAAGUGUAAGUUAUCCCCAUGCAGGGCUCCUGGGAGCCAUGUCUCCCUUCACCACAGACUUCAGCCUGACAGUUGGGGACAGCCUGGUUCACCCCUCCCCAAGCCACUCCCAGCAGCAGCUCCAGAGAUAGGCAUGGACUUUAGUGCCUGGUCCACACUCGCUGCUUCCCUGAGGGGUCCAGUUCUCUAAGCUGAGCAAAGCUCACUCCCAGGUCACCCUGGAGGACGUGUUUUGCCUGUGCUUCAGAGAUGGCUUGUCAGUACUGAUCGAUGAACUGGGCACACUAGAUUACCACAUCAUGUGAGCAUGGCAAAUCGAUGCAGGCCCAGGGAUAGAAGUUUUUGCUUUAACUGUGGCCUUCUAUCAAAGCUUAUGUGGCCUCCCACUAGAUCCCCUACAUCUAUGAAUGACCAACAUCUCCCAGAAAGUCCAGUAGCCUAGAAGGUUGCUGGGUUUUUAUACUCUUAUGUUCUGAAACCCUGAAGUGGUUCCCCCUGCCCUAUGGCUGAUGUCAUUCAGACAUGUUGUCGCUACCUGUGCCCUCCUCUCCAAGCAAAUCUGCUUGGUUCUGUGGCUGCUCAGGUCGUGUGUUUUGUUCCAACUCACUCUAUGCUCUGCUCUUUCCUCCGGUCCUU